AGUAUAAACGAUUUAAUCGUGAAACCGCGAAUGGCUCAUUAUAACAGCUAUAAUUUACUUGAUCUUGACACAAUCCUACUUGGAUAACUGUGGUAAUUCUAGAGCUAAUACAUGCAUUAAAGCUCUGACCUCACGGGAAGAGUGCAUUUAUUAGAACAAAACCAAGCGGCUUCGGCUGUUUCUGGUUGACUCAUAGUAACUGAGCUGAUCGCAUGGUCUUGCACCGGCGACGUGUCUUUCAAGUAUCUGCCGUAUCAACUUUCGAUGGUAGUGUAUCUGACUACCAUGGUGAUCACGCGUAACGGAGAAUAAGGGUUCGGCUCCGGAGAGUUCGCCUGAGAAAUCGCGAACACAUCUAAGGAAGGCAGCAGGCGCGAAAAUUACCCACUCUCAGCACGAGGAGGUAGUGACGAAAAAUAACGAGACCGUUCUCUUAUGAGGCCGGUCAUCGGAAUGGGUACAAUCUAAACCCCUUAACGAGUAUCUAUGAGAGGGCAAGUCUGGUGCC
RNAcentral lists this ribosomal RNA (508 nucleotides) under Nematoda environmental sample. Its description in RNAcentral is "SSU rRNA". It matches the Rfam family "Eukaryotic small subunit ribosomal RNA", at positions 62 to 568 of the family's 1831-position model. The record is from RNAcentral. Lineage: Eukaryota; Metazoa; Nematoda.